This 253-nucleotide ribosomal RNA is filed under the name uncultured bacterium. Its description in RNAcentral is "partial 16S ribosomal RNA". It matches the Rfam family "Bacterial small subunit ribosomal RNA", at positions 524 to 776 of the family's 1533-position model. The record is from RNAcentral.
GACGAACCGUGCAAACGUUAUUCGGAAUCACUGGGCUUAAAGGGCGCGUAGGCGGGCCGCCCGGUCCGGGGUGAAAUCCUCCAGCUCAACUGGAGAAGUGCCUUGGAUACCGGCGGCCUCGAGGGAGGCAGGGGCGUGCGGAACUUCGGGUGGAGCGGUGAAAUGCGUAGAUAUCCGAAGGAACACCGGUGGCGAAAGCGGCGCGCUGGACCUCUUCUGACGCUGAGGCGCGAAAGCCAGGGGAGCAAACGGG